Molecule: long non-coding RNA, 769 nt
Organism: Austrofundulus limnaeus
Lineage: Eukaryota; Metazoa; Chordata; Actinopteri; Cyprinodontiformes; Rivulidae
Exons: 5
Source: RefSeq, a predicted model, not a curated record
CCUGGUUCUAUUUACAGCUAAGGUCAGCAGCGGAGGAGUACAGCAUGCUGGGAGGCUGUGRUGUGGCUCAGUCGGUUUGACCCACACCUGCUGCGUAUCCUUUACUCAAACCCUGGAGGGUGAGCGUGUCAUUAUGCGAAGCGUCCCUGUUUCCUGUGCCCUGUCAUCCAGCCACCCUCACCUGUUUCCAGUCUCCAAUUAGGUCAGCUGUUUCCGAGACCUCGUUAGCUCGAUAGGACCCGUCUUUUGUGCUCCUCAUGUAAUCCCUGAGUUCUCUCUCAACAUCUCUCUCGCUCUUCGUUCCACACCUUCACCUACCACAGUUGUGAACAGCACUUGUCUUCUCGCUGAUGUUUCUGAUGACAGCUGACAUUUCUACAAAUAGCCUGGGAAGCGGUGGAGACGAUGGAGGUGCUGAAGGAGAUCAGACCUGGAGCUCACCAUGAGACAGACUCACUCGGAGCUGAUCUCGUGAGUGUGCCGUCUCGCGAUCAGCUGUUGGCUUUUAUACGGCGCAGUGCGCGCGCAACAGAAGGAGAGAGAGAGGCUGAGGAGGGAGGGAUGGAUGGAUGGAUGGACACACGGGUGGAUGGAUGGAUGGACACACGGGUGGAUGGAGUGCUUAAUUUAAUCCAUCCCGAGUCCCCCGGGAGCAGCGGCUGGCCCCGGAUGAUUUAUUGAAGCUGUUAUCACCCCCUCUUUUCUCUUUCUUUCUCCGUCUUUCACUCUCCUCCCUCUUUUGUCGUGUGUGUGUGUGUGUGUGUGUGUG